AUUAGCUAGUUGGUGAGGUAAUGGCUCACCAGGCGACGAUCCUAGCUGGUUGAGAGGAUGAUCAGCCACACUGGGACUGAGACACGGCCCAGACUCCUACGGGAGGCAGCAGUCGGGGAAUAUUGCACAAUGGGCGCAAGGCCUUGAUGCGAGCCAUGCCGCGUGUGUGAAGAAGGCCUUCGGGUUGUAAAGCACUUUCAGUCAGGUAGGAAAGCGUGGUGGGUUAAUACCCAUCAUGUGUGACGUUACUGACAGAAGAAGCACCGGCUAACUCCGUGCCAGCAGCCGCGGUAA
Molecule: ribosomal RNA, 294 nt
Filed under: uncultured bacterium
Lineage: Bacteria
Description: partial 16S ribosomal RNA
Rfam family: Bacterial small subunit ribosomal RNA
Source: RNAcentral